CGUCGCCACGAGCGGCGGCUAGCUCUCGUCCCUCCUGUACCAAUCGUCGUCGGCGGUUGUGGUGGCAUCUCCGACGAGAUUCCCUGGUGAGGUCGUACGUGCUCCACUUCUCCCCGUCGACGGCGAAUGGAGUGCAGUUUCUAAUCCUCGGCGGAUCCAUCGAGGAGGUAGACAAGUAGUAUAGUCUUCUUCUGAGUUGAUCUGAGUCCCUCCCAUCCAGAUCAAAUCUUCGAUGGUGCUGUGUCGUAGAUUCGAGAACCAUGCAUGCACGUGCUGGCCGGCUGAUCGGCAAAACCCCUCGCACAGCAGUGGUGGCGCCACUCGAUCUCCAUCGUCGGCCGGCGUUCCCAGAAGGCGCAAACGGGCGGCGUCAACUCAUCCUCCCAGCCCUCACCCUCAGCGUUCCCAGCCGAGUGGUGCGCGGCCGCUGCGUCAGUGCAAUUUGUUUUCUGGACCGGCGAGAGCUCCGGCAGAUCAACCCCAUUGCGCCACACUGAAAAUUGCAAUAUACUCCACUAUUUUGCUGACAGUCUUAUGCUUCUACAGUGAAGGUACCAAUCAAUGAGCUAACUAGUCCGUACAUGCUGGUGAUGAACAUGUUUCCGGAUGACGCAAACCAAGAAGCCGGAAGAAUGAAAUGAUCUUGAGAGCCAACGUACUGCAGGCCGUUGAGGCUGAGAUGGGCUCUCUCGGGAUGGAUAUGGCUCUUCUUCUCUCUUGACGAGUAAAAAUUAAGAAGACACCACUAGGUGAUGAAUUUCGAUUUUUGCGAGUUUAAAGAAGACAAGGACUUUGAUGAGUAUAUCUAUGUUCAGAUUUAUCCAGAUUUAUUGAUAUAAUUAUAAUUAAGAAUACAUAUAACUAUGCUAGAUUUCUAGUUUGAUGAACAUAAAAACUGUAUAUAAGGUUGCGUUUAGUUCCUGAAAAAAGUUGGAAGUUUGGGAAAAGUUAAAAGUUUGAAAAAAAAAGUUGGAAGUU
This is a long non-coding RNA of Oryza sativa Japonica Group (Japanese rice), 978 nucleotides long. RefSeq lists it as uncharacterized. The record is from RefSeq and is a predicted model, not a curated record. NCBI's taxonomy places the organism in Eukaryota, Viridiplantae, Streptophyta, Magnoliopsida, Poales, Poaceae.